RNAcentral lists this long non-coding RNA (229 nucleotides) under Sorghum bicolor (sorghum). RNAcentral's name for it is "long non-coding RNA (SBIC_LNC009745)". The record is from RNAcentral. Lineage: Eukaryota; Viridiplantae; Streptophyta; Magnoliopsida; Poales; Poaceae.
CAUUAGUCUGGCAAUGGGCCUAACUCCCCUUAUACACUACUAAAAUCAACAUGUUUCCCUAGAACGCCUAACGCGUUCCUGGUAAGACCAAUGAUGAACACCUCACACACGUCUUUUUUUUUUCACCGCCAACUAUGUGACCGUCAUGUGCUUACGUGAAUGAAAAAAGGACAAAACUUAAUUGUUUAAUCUACUUUCCUUCCCCGUCCAAAGCUGACUACACGCCCAC